RNAcentral lists this ribosomal RNA (468 nucleotides) under uncultured bacterium. Its description in RNAcentral is "partial 16S ribosomal RNA". It matches the Rfam family "Bacterial small subunit ribosomal RNA", at positions 28 to 507 of the family's 1533-position model. The record is from RNAcentral.
GACGAACGCUGGCGGCGUGCUUAACACAUGCAAGUCGAACGGAAAGGCCCUGCUUUUGUGGGGUGCUCGAGUGGCGAACGGGUGAGUAACACGUGAGUAACCUGCCCUUGACUUUGGGAUAACUUCAGGAAACUGGGGCUAAUACCGGAUAGGAGCUCCUGCUGCAUGGUGGGGGUUGGAAAGUUUCGGCGGUUGGGGAUGGACUCGCGGCUUAUCAGCUUGUUGGUGGGGUAGUGGCUUACCAAGGCUUUGACGGGUAGCCGGCCUGAGAGGGUGACCGGCGACAUUGGGACUGAGAUACGGCCCAGACUCCUACGGGAGGCAGCAGUGGGGAAUAUUGAACAAUGGGCGGAAGCCUGAUGCAGCAACGCCGCGUGCGGGAUGACGGCCUUCGGGUUGUAAACCGCUUUCGCCUGUGACGAAGCGUGAGUGACGGUAAUGGGUAAAGAAGCACCGGCUAACUACGUG